GAUGAACGCUGGCGGCGUGCCUAAUACAUGCAAGUCGAGCGAACAGGUAAGGAGCUUGCUCCUUUGACGUUAGCGGCGGACGGGUGAGUAACACGUGGGUAACCUACCUAUAAGACUGGGAUAACUUCGGGAAACCGGAGCUAAUACCGGAUAAUAUUUCGAACCGCAUGGUUCGAUAGUGAAAGAUGGUUUUGCUAUCACUUAUAGUUGGACCCGCGCCGUAUUAGCUAGUUGGUAAGGUAACGGCUUACCAAGGCGACGAUACGUAGCCGACCUGAGAGGGUGAUCGGCCACACUGGAACUGAGACACGGUCCAGACUCCUACGGGAGGCAGCAGUAGGGAAUCUUCCGCAAUGGGCGAAAGCCUGACGGAGCAACGCCGCGUGAGUGAUGAAGGUCUUCGGAUCGUAAAACUCUGUUAUUAGGGAAGAACAUACGUGUAAGUAACUGUGCACGUCUUGACGGUACCUAAUCAGAAAGCCACGGCUAACUACGUG
Molecule: ribosomal RNA, 497 nt
Filed under: uncultured bacterium
Lineage: Bacteria
Description: partial 16S ribosomal RNA
Rfam family: Bacterial small subunit ribosomal RNA
Source: RNAcentral